RNAcentral lists this ribosomal RNA (901 nucleotides) under Alternaria alternata. RNAcentral describes it as "SSU rRNA". It matches the Rfam family "Eukaryotic small subunit ribosomal RNA", at positions 572 to 1480 of the family's 1831-position model. Lineage: Eukaryota; Fungi; Ascomycota; Dothideomycetes; Pleosporales; Pleosporaceae. The record is from RNAcentral.
UUUCUUGGGCCGCCGCAGAGCGCGGUAAUUCCAGCUCCAAUAGCGUAUAUUAAAGUUGUUGCAGUUAAAAAGCUCGUAGUUGAAACUUGGGCCUGGCUGGCGGGUCCGCCUCACCGCGUGCACUCGUCCGGCCGGGCCUUCCUUCUGAAGAACCUCAUGCCCUUCACUGGGCGUGCUGGGGAAUCAGGACUUUUACUUUGAAAAAAUUAGAGUGUUCAAAGCAGGCCUUUGCUCGAAUACGUUAGCAUGGAAUAAUAAAAUAGGGCGUGCGUUUCUAUUUUGUUGGUUUCUAGAGACGCCGCAAUGAUUAACAGGAACAGUCGGGGGCAUCAGUAUUCAGUUGUCAGAGGUGAAAUUCUUGGAUUUACUGAAGACUAACUACUGCGAAAGCAUUUGCCAAGGAUGUUUUCAUUAAUCAGUGAACGAAAGUUAGGGGAUCGAAGACGAUCAGAUACCGUCGUAGUCUUAACCGUAAACUAUGCCGACUAGGGAUCGGGCGAUGUUCUUUUUCUGACUCGCUCGGCACCUUACGAGAAAUCAAAGUUUUUGGGUUCUGGGGGGAUUAUGGUCGCAAGGCUGAAACUUAAAGAAAUUGACGGAAGGUCACCACCAGGCGUGGAGCCUGCGGCUUAAUUUGACUCAACACGGGGAAACUCACCAGGUCCAGAUGAAAUAAGGAUUGACAGAUUGAGAGCUCUUUCUUGAUUUUUCAGGUGGUGGUGCAUGGCCGUUCUUAGUUCGUGGGGUGACUUGUCUGCUUAAUUGCGAUAACGAGCGAGACCUUACUCUGCUAAAUAGCCAGGCUAACUUUGGUUGGUCGCCGGCUUCUUAGAGAGACUAUCAACUCAAGUUGAUGGAAGUUUGAGGCAAUAACACUUGAUGCGGCCCUCCCUCAAAAAAA